AGUGAACGCUGGCGGUGGGCCUAACACAUGCAAGUCGAACGGCAGCACAGUAAGAGCUUGCUCUUACGGGUGGCGAGUGGCGGACGAGUGAGGAAUACAUCGGAAUCUACUUUUUCGUGGGGGAUAACGUAGGGAAACUUACGCUAAUACCGCAUACGACCUACGGGUGAAAGCAGGGGAUCUUCGGACCUUGCGCGAUUGAAUGAGCCGAUGUCGGAUUAGCUAGUUGGCGGGGUAAAGGCCCACCAAGGCGACGAUCCGUAGCUGGUCUGAGAGGAUGAUCAGCCACACUGGAACUGAGACACGGUCCAGACUCCUACGGGAGGCAGCAGUGGGGAAUAUUGGACAAUGGGCGCAAGCCUGAUCCAGCCAUACCGCGUGGGUGAAGAAGGCCUUCGGGUUGUAAAGCCCUUUUGUUGGGAAAGAAAAGCAGCAGGUUAAUACCCCGCUGUUCUGACGGUACCCAAAGAAUAAGCACCGGCUAACUUCGUG
Molecule: ribosomal RNA, 492 nt
Filed under: uncultured bacterium
Lineage: Bacteria
Description: partial 16S ribosomal RNA
Rfam family: Bacterial small subunit ribosomal RNA
Source: RNAcentral